UGGGGAGUAAAAAAAAGCGUAACAAGGUUUCCGUAGGUGAACCUGCGGAAGGAUCAUUACAGUAUUCUUUUGCCAGCGCUUAACUGCGCGGCGAAAAACCUUACACACAGUGUCUUUUUGAUACAGAACUCUUGCUUUGGUUUGGCCUAGAGAUAGGUUGGGCCAGAGGUUUAACAAAACACAAUUUAAUUAUUUUUACAGUUAGUCAAAUUUUGAAUUAAUCUUCAAAACUUUCAACAACGGAUCUCUUGGUUCUCGCAUCGAUGAAGAACGCAGCGAAAUGCGAUAAGUAAUAUGAAUUGCAGAUUUUCGUGAAUCAUCGAAUCUUUGAACGCACAUUGCGCCCUCUGGUAUUCCAGAGGGCAUGCCUGUUUGAGCGUCAUUUCUCUCUCAAACCCCCGGGUUUGGUAUUGAGUGAUACUCUUAGUCGGACUAGGCGUUUGCUUGAAAAGUAUUGGCAUGGGUAGUACUAGAUAGUGCUGUCGACCUCUCAAUGUAUUAGGUUUAUCCAACUCGUUGAAUGGUGUGGCGGGAUAUUUCUGGUAUUGUUGGCCCGGCCUUACAACAACCAAACAAGUUUGACCUCAAAUCAGGUAGGAAUACCCGCUGAACUUAAGCAUAUCAAAAAACGGGGGAGAAAA
RNAcentral lists this ribosomal RNA (641 nucleotides) under Meyerozyma guilliermondii. RNAcentral's name for it is "eukaryotic LSU rRNA". The stretch from base 229 to 382 matches the Rfam family "5.8S ribosomal RNA". The record is from RNAcentral. Lineage: Eukaryota; Fungi; Ascomycota; Pichiomycetes; Serinales; Debaryomycetaceae.